This 64-nucleotide ribosomal RNA is filed under the name Clostridium perfringens. Its description in RNAcentral is "partial 16S ribosomal RNA". It matches the Rfam family "Bacterial small subunit ribosomal RNA", at positions 1 to 62 of the family's 1533-position model. The record is from RNAcentral. Lineage: Bacteria; Bacillati; Bacillota; Clostridia; Eubacteriales; Clostridiaceae.
UUUAAAUUGAGAGUUUGAUCCUGGCUCAGGAUGAACGCUGGCGGCGUGCUUAACACAUGCAAGU